RNAcentral lists this ribosomal RNA (538 nucleotides) under uncultured bacterium. RNAcentral's name for it is "bacterial SSU rRNA". It matches the Rfam family "Bacterial small subunit ribosomal RNA", at positions 777 to 1319 of the family's 1533-position model. The record is from RNAcentral.
AAUAGAUACCCCGGUAGUCCACGCUGUAAACGAUGGGCACUAGGUGUGGGGGUGUCGACUCCCUCCGUGCCGAAGCUAACGCAUUAAGUUCCCCGCCUGGGGAGUACGGCCGCAAGGCUAAAACUCAAAGGAAUUGACGGGGGCCCGCACAAGCGGCGGAGCAUGCGGAUUAAUUCGAUGCAACGCGAAGAACCUUACCAAGGCUUGACAUACACCGGAAACAUCCAGAGAUGGGUGCCCCGCAAGGUCGGUGUACAGGUGGUGCAUGGUUGUCGUCAGCUCGUGUCGUGAGAUGUUGGGUUAAGUCCCGCAACGAGCGCAACCCUCGUUCUAUGUUGCCAGCGCGUAAAGGCGGGGACUCAUAGGAGACUGCCGGGGUCAACUCGGAGGAAGGUGGGGAUGACGUCAAAUCAUCAUGCCCCUUAUGUCUUGGGCUUCACGCAUGCUACAAUGGCCGGUACAAAGGGCUGCGAUACCGCAAGGUGGAGCGAAUCCAAAAACCGGUCUCAGUUCGGAUUGGGGUCUGCAACUCGACCCA